AUAAAUCUUUUGAGGGCCAUGAUUGUUUUAACCUGCCAGUAACCCCCUCGAGUUCACCAGAGCAAAAGACAGCAAAAGCCUGUUUAUUGUCCAGCAGGCAUCUACACAUGUUGUAAGCCAAGUUCCAUCUGGUCGCAACAUCGUGGAUCAUCUGGGCGACAGCCAGGCUUCAUUUGCUUCAUGUCCUGGGCAGCACGGAGGCAGCCGAACAGGAACACGCCGAUGACCGGCCAACCGCGACCGAGCUGGCCCCCGGGGAUUUCUCGACUGAUGGCUCCGCGCGACGGAGCGGUGGUGGCUCUGCGGCUCGGUGUCUUUGUAAGAUGUCCCAGGCUGGGCCCCGCGGGGUGGUCGGGCCGUGCUGGAAGGUGCCGGGGAGUUAACGGGGGACGCCUCGCGGAGCUGUUGGAGCACGACUCGGUUGCUGUAACAAGCUAGAGCCCUGAAUGUGGACCAUCGUCCUCCUGCGGAAAAGGCCCAGAGGACCCAAAGGAGUCAAAACCAUUUGGACCAUUAAAAGCUGAUUGCCUUUGAGCAUUAGGUAUAAUGCUGUAGAUGUAAAGUAACAAAAUAUUUGUGUAGUUUCCUAUAACGUGUACAAAAUUAUUUGUAUUUAUUCCAUUCUGCUUUGCACACCCUCCUCCCAGUACUUAAAUGCAACUUGCAUGGAUCUGUACGCAUUUAAAGGGAAAAUUGCUAUGCUGCACCAUGUGUGAAGGUGAGCUAAUUACAUGUUAGGGAGUGUUUGAGAUGGGAGUGAUAAUGGCAGAGGAAAGAUGAGCCUUCUCCUCACUCAUGGACAAAUUUGGAUCAGGUGGCAGUACUGAAAAAUCCUUUGGAGCUUCCAUUGAACUUGAAGUGUGAUUUUUUUUUUUUUCAUUUUUCAUAUUUUCUCUGGAAGGAUUAGAGGCUAAUUAUUCUGGAAUUUGCUAAUGGGCAAAGGCAAUUAACAGAGAGACCUUGUUUAUUCCAGAUUUGAUACUGGAUCCCAGUGCUUCCAGGUAGCUAAGCAUCAAUGUCAUUGCUGCCUGCCACUGUCGUCUCUCUUCUUCCAAGUCACAAGUGGGUGGGUUGCAUGUCACAGAGCAAGGCAAAUGGAAACUUGCAUAAAGACACAGGGGGAGCUGGACAUUUAUGGAUGAGGUGAAUUGAAAGUUAUGUCUAGUCCUCUGAUGAGUGCAUGACUGCCAUGGCUGAAAGUUGGUGAUGGUCCUGCUUUGAGUGGGAGACUGGACAAAACGACAUUUGGGAAUCCCUUCCAACCAGCACUGCUCCAAUCCACAAGUCCGUGAUACUCAACCUGGUAUGUUCUGCUUACGUUUACAAUAAAGUACAACUCCCCUAAACUUGUACA
This 1354-nucleotide long non-coding RNA is filed under the name Anser cygnoides (Swan goose). RNAcentral describes it as "lncRNA (ENSACDG00005006432.1)". Lineage: Eukaryota; Metazoa; Chordata; Aves; Anseriformes; Anatidae. The record is from RNAcentral.